CAGGGGGGGCAAGCGUUGUUCGGAAUUACUGGGCGUAAAGGGCUCGUAGGUGGCCAACUAAGUCGGACGUGAAAUCCCUCAGCUUAACUGGGGAACUGCAUCCGAUACUGGAUGGCUUGAGUUUGGGAGAGGGAUGCGGAAUUCCAGGUGUAGCGGUGAAAUGCGUAGAUAUCUGGAGGAACACCGGUGGCGAAGGCGGCAUCCUGGACCAACACUGACACUGAGGAGCGAAAGCCAGGGGAGCAAACGGG
Molecule: ribosomal RNA, 251 nt
Filed under: uncultured bacterium
Lineage: Bacteria
Description: partial 16S ribosomal RNA
Rfam family: Bacterial small subunit ribosomal RNA
Source: RNAcentral